GUCGAGGAUCUUCCGCAAUGGACGAAAGUCUGACGGAGCGACGCCGCGUGCGGGAGGAAGGCCUUCGGGUUGUAAACCGCUGUCACCUGUUAUGAAUCGUGAGGGCGUGAAUAGCGCCAGCACGUGACAAAGGCAGGGGAGGAAGCCACGGCUAACUUCGUGCCAGCAGCCGCGGUAAUACGAAGGUGGCAAGCGUUGUUCGGAAUCACUGGGCAUAAAGCGCGUGUAGGCGGCCUUGCAAGUCGGGUGUGAAAUCCCUCAGCUCAACCGAGGAACUGCGCCCGAAACUGCUUGGCUUGAGGCCUGGAGGGGAGAGUGGAAUUCCCGGUGGAGCGGUGAAAUGCGUAGAUAUCGGGAGGAACGCCGGUGGCGAAAGCGACUCUCUGGACAGGUUCUGACGCUGAGACGCGAAAGCUAGGGGAGCAAACGGGAUUAGAAACCCGUGUAGUCC
RNAcentral lists this ribosomal RNA (451 nucleotides) under uncultured bacterium. Its description in RNAcentral is "bacterial SSU rRNA". It matches the Rfam family "Bacterial small subunit ribosomal RNA", at positions 354 to 796 of the family's 1533-position model. The record is from RNAcentral.